Molecule: ribosomal RNA, 740 nt
Filed under: uncultured eukaryote
Lineage: Eukaryota
Description: bacterial SSU rRNA
Rfam family: Eukaryotic small subunit ribosomal RNA
Source: RNAcentral
GACUUGGACUGGCCGCCAGGGUCCGGAAGAGGAGCGAGUUCACUCGAUCAUCUACGUUACGUGGGUGGUGGGGAGCGACGAGCUCUGGGUUACUGUGAAGAAAUUAGAGUGUUUAAAGCAGGCAGGAAAGCUUGAAUAGACGAGCAUGGAAUAACAAGAUAGGACAUUGAGAGCCUCUUGUUGGUGAAGGGGGACGGAUGUAAUGAUUAAUAGGGUCAGUUGGGGGCAUUAGUAUUCAGUAGUCAGAGGUGAAAUUCUUGGAUUUACUGAAGACUAACUAGUGCGAAAGCAUUUGCCAAGGAUGUUUUCAUUAAUCAAGAACGAAAGUUAGGGGAUCGAAGACGAUCAGAUACCGUCGUAGUCUUAACUAUAAACGAUGCCGACUAAGGAUCGGCAGGGGUCGGUUAGCGACACUGUCGGGACUUUGUGAGAAAUCAAAGUUUAUGGGUUCUGGGGGGAGUAUGGUCGCAAGGCUGAAACUUAAAGGAAUUGACGGAAGGGCACCACCAGGAGUGGAGCCUGCGGCUUAAUUUGACUCAACACGGGAAAACUCACCAGGUCCGGACAUGGUAAGGAUUGACAGAUUGAGAGCUCUUUCUUGAUUCUGUGGGUGGUGGUGCAUGGCCGUUCUUAGUUGGUGGAGUGAUUUGUCUGGUUAAUUCCGAUAACGAACGAGACCUUGACCUGCUAACUAGAUGUUAGUACGAGAGUAUUGGUAGACUUCUUAGAGGGACUGACUA